UACGUAGGGGGCAAGCGUUGUCCGGAAUUAUUGGGCGUAAAGCGCGCGCAGGCGGCUGUUUAAGUUCGGUGUUUAAGCCCGGGGCUCAACCCCGGUUCGCACCGGAAACUGGAUGGCUUGAGUGCAGGAGAGGUGAGUGGAAUCCCCAGUGUAGCGGUGAAAUGCGUAGAUAUUGGGGGGAACACCAGUGGCGAAGGCGGCUCACUGGACAGACACCGACGCUGAGGCACGAAAGCUAGGGGAGCAAACAGG
This 252-nucleotide ribosomal RNA is filed under the name uncultured bacterium. RNAcentral's name for it is "partial 16S ribosomal RNA". It matches the Rfam family "Bacterial small subunit ribosomal RNA", at positions 524 to 776 of the family's 1533-position model. The record is from RNAcentral.